RNAcentral lists this ribosomal RNA (253 nucleotides) under uncultured bacterium. Its description in RNAcentral is "partial 16S ribosomal RNA". It matches the Rfam family "Bacterial small subunit ribosomal RNA", at positions 524 to 776 of the family's 1533-position model. The record is from RNAcentral.
UACGGAGGAGGCAAGCGUUAUCCGGGAUUAUUGGGCGUAAAGCGUCCGCAGGUGGCACUUCAAGUCUGUCGUCAAAGACUGGGGCUUAAUCCUGGAAAGGCGGUGGAAACUGAAGCGCUAGAGUGCGGUAGGGGUAGAGGGAAUUCCCGGUGUAGCGGUGAAAUGCGUAGAGAUCGGGAAGAACAUCGGUGGCGAAAGCGCUCUACUGGACCGCAACUGACACUCAGGGACGAAAGCUAGGGGAGCGAAUGGG